Molecule: ribosomal RNA, 464 nt
Filed under: uncultured bacterium
Lineage: Bacteria
Description: partial 16S ribosomal RNA
Rfam family: Bacterial small subunit ribosomal RNA
Source: RNAcentral
CUACGGGGUGCAGCAGUGGGGAAUAUUGGACAAUGGGGGAAACCCUGAUCCAGCAAUGCCGCGUGUGUGAAGAAGGCCUGCGGGUUGUAAAGCACUUUCGGUUGGGAGGACUGCUUCUAGCACUAAUAUUGUUGGAAGUUGACGUUACCUUCAGAAGAAGCACCGGCUAACUCCGUGCCAGCAGCCGCGGUAAUACGGAGGGUGCAAGCGUAAUCGGAAUUACUGGGCGUAAAGCGCGCGUAGGCGGCUAGAUCAGUCGGGUGUGAAAGCCCCGGGCUUAACCUGGGAACUGCAUCCGAUACUGUCUAGCUUGAGUACAGGAGAGGAGAGUGGAAUUCCACAUGUAGCGGUGAUAUGCGUAGAUAUGUGGAGGAACACCAAUGGCGAAGGCAGCUCUCUGGCCUGAUACUGACGCUGAGGUGCGAAAGCGUGGGGAGCAAACAGGAUUAGAUACCCUAGUAGUC